Molecule: RNA transcript, 1921 nt
Organism: Populus trichocarpa (black cottonwood)
Lineage: Eukaryota; Viridiplantae; Streptophyta; Magnoliopsida; Malpighiales; Salicaceae
Exons: 8
Source: RefSeq, a predicted model, not a curated record
AAAAAAUAUUAAAGUGAGUAAUUUUAUUUUUUACGUUCGCUGCCGUGCUUUUUAAAACACAUAUUUCUUGUGUUCUCCGCUUUUUGGCUUGGCACCUAACUGAUUGAUCAACUAUUUUCUAUUUGAUAGUAAUGUUAAUCACUAACAACCCACUCUAUCACAUAAUUCUUCUUUCUCUCUCUUUCUUCUUCUUCUUCUUCUUCUUCUUCUUGUUUUUUUGUAGUAACAUGGGUGCUUGAAGUUGAUAACGCGGUUAGACUGUUCGACAAAAUGUCUAAAUGAAAAGUUUGCUUUGUUUCCAAUUUGAUUGAAAUAUGGAUAAUGAUGGAGAGCAACAUUCAGGAAAAAGUUCAUGAAGUUGAGGAAUUUUUUGAUGGCCAUUUGAAACCACAGCUUGUUCGCGCUAUUGCUGAACGGGACAAGGUUUUUGAGCAACAAAAGAUGUUCUCAGAUUUGCGUAGGAACAUAGAGAACUUAGAGAAGAACAGCGUACGAUGGUCAACCUUGGCUCCGUAUUGUACAUGCAAGCUGAUGUGCCAGAUACCCACCGCAUAUUUGUGGGUGUUGGACUUGGAUUCCAUGUGGAGUUUACCUGGCAAGGAAUGCUGUAAAAGCCAUGUGGCAAUGACGGAAUACCCAGGAGUCACAGAACCAUGUGGGCAGGAGCUGAAUCUUUUAAAAUGGUCUGUGGAAAAUAUUUCUUAGACAAAAGUUAGACACCUGGUUUUCAACCAUUUUUCAUUGCGAAACAAACAUUGAAAAAUAAGUCAAAAGUAAAAUUCAAUCAACUUCCAAAUACUGUCAAUUUAAAAAUAUUUUAAUUUUCAUAAUUUUUAGUAUUAUCGAUUCAUAAUAUCCACCAACAUUAUAAUUUAACCACCAUCACUUCCGUCACUAGCUAUCAUGGUCAUCACCAUUAUCAAUGCCAUUAACUACCGUCAAUUUAUCAUUAUUUUUACUAUUAUCAUUAUUAUUUUAAUAUUGUUAUUAUCACAAUAAUAAUCACCAUAUCAUUUACUAUUAUUAUCACUAUAAUUAUUACUUUCAUAACAAUUAUCUUUUUAUACAACUAUCGUUAUAGUUAUUGUAUCGCCACCAUUGUCACUAUUAUAAAUAUUAUUAUUAUUAUAAUCACUACACUACCAUCAUUAUUAAUUUUACUAACAACAUAAUUUUUUUAUGUUAUUAUCAAUUAUUUAUUUUCUUAAUACAUCCAAAAUUAAUCAAUCUUCAAAAAAAUAUUUUUGAUGGAAAAACAUUUUUCGCAAAGCAAAUGUACCUUAACAGCGACUCGUAAGCUUGCUAGCACCCCUGGGCAAAGAUCAUCUGCCACCACCUCCCAUACCGCACCAACCUAGUGAUGGCCUAUGGCCUGUGGGCUAGCAGUGCACAGGCAGCAAAAUUAAGCCCAUCUGUAUUGCUAAACUCAGGAGUCAGAACCUUUAUCCUACUACUAGCUAACAGGGUUUGUUUGUUAGGAUGGAGGCCAGUGGGAGAAAAGAUGCCUCACCGUGAAAAGAAGUAACUCUGGGAUUGGACAGCACGGAGGAGAUGAAUUCACUCGUAACCAUCACCAAACAGCUGAUGCCAACAGCGCUAUAUUUCAUGCAUUGGGCAACGGUGGGUUCUGGGAUGAUUUAACCCAUCGGGUCAUUAACAGUGCGGUAUAAUGGAAAGCAACAAGCGCAUCGCUAUCAUUUUAAGAACUUUGAUUGGACUGAACUGAUGGGAUGGGACCGAUAAAUGCAAGAAAACAACUUCUUGUUUUAUAGGCUGUUUUUACUACUGUUUAUGUUAUUAAUACUCUCCACGGCCGUGGCUGUGAAUGUGCUGUGUUUGUGUAGCAGCAGAGCUGAAUUAAAGGUUUGCUUUCGCCGACAAAAGGAAUCAAUUCACGGCCACUUCAGAUAUAUUAAGGACA